GACGAACGCUGGCGGCGUGCUAAUACAUGCAAGUCGAGCGGACCGACGGGAGCUUGCUCCCUUAGGUCAGCGGCGGACGGGUGAGUAACACGUGGGUAACCUGCCUGUAAGACUGGGAUAACUCCGGGAAACCGGGGCUAAUACCGGAUGCUUGAUUGAACCGCAUGGUUCAAUCAUAAAAGGUGGCUUUCAGCUACCACUUACAGAUGGACCCGCGGCGCAUUAGCUAGUUGGUGAGGUAACGGCUCACCAAGGCGACGAUGCGUAGCCGACCUGAGAGGGUGAUCGGCCACACUGGGACUGAGACACGGCCCAGACUCCUACGGGAGGCAGCAGUAGGGAAUCUUCCGCAAUGGACGAAAGUCUGACGGAGCAACGCCGCGUGAGUGAUGAAGGUUUUCGGAUCGUAAAACUCUGUUGUUAGGGAAGAACAAGUACCGUUCGAAUAGGGCGGCACCUUGACGGUACCUAACCAGAAAGCCACGGCUAACUACGUGCCAGCAGCCGCGGUAAUACGUAGGUGGCAAGCGUUGUCCGGAAUUAUUGGGCGUAAAGCGCGCGCAGGCGGUCUCUUAAGUCUGAUGUGAAAGCCCCCGGCUCAACCGGGGAGGGUCAUUGGAAACUGGGGAACUUGAGUGCAGAAGAGGAGAGUGGAAUUCCACGUGUAGCGGUGAAAUGCGUAGAGAUGUGGAGGAACACCAGUGGCGAAGGCGACUCUCUGGUCUGUAACUGACGCU
RNAcentral lists this ribosomal RNA (737 nucleotides) under uncultured Bacilli bacterium. RNAcentral describes it as "bacterial SSU rRNA". It matches the Rfam family "Bacterial small subunit ribosomal RNA", at positions 28 to 747 of the family's 1533-position model. The record is from RNAcentral. Lineage: Bacteria; Bacillati; Bacillota; Bacilli.